Molecule: ribosomal RNA, 492 nt
Filed under: uncultured bacterium
Lineage: Bacteria
Description: partial 16S ribosomal RNA
Rfam family: Bacterial small subunit ribosomal RNA
Source: RNAcentral
AGUGAACGCUGGCGGUAGGCCUAACACAUGCAAGUCGAACGGCAGCACAGUAAGAGCUUGCUCUUACGGGUUGCGAGUGGCGGACGGGUGAGGAAUACAUCGGAAUCUACUUUUUCGUGGGGGAUAACGUAGGGAAACUUACGCUAAUACCGCAUACGACCUACGGGUGAAAGCAGGGGAUCUUCGGACCUUGCGCGAUUGAAUGAGCCGAUGUCGGAUUAGCUAGUUGGCGGGGUAAAGGCCCACCCAGGCGACGAUCCGUAGCUGGUCUGAGAGGAUGAUCAGCCACACUGGAACUGAGACACGGUCCAGACUACUAAGGGAGGCAGCAGUGGGGAAUAUUGGACAAUGGGCGCAAGCCUGAUCCAGCCAUACCGCGUGGGUGAAGAAGGCCUUCGGGUUGUAAAGCCCUUUUGUUGGGAAAGAAAAGCAGCAGGUUAAUACCCCGCUGUUCUGACGGUACCCAAAGAAUAAGCACCGGCUAACUUCGUG